RNAcentral lists this long non-coding RNA (5439 nucleotides) under Anneissia japonica. RNAcentral's name for it is "uncharacterized LOC117109633, transcript variant X1". The record is from RNAcentral. Lineage: Eukaryota; Metazoa; Echinodermata; Crinoidea; Comatulida; Comatulidae.
UGAGCAGCGGAGGAGGGUGUGGAUAGAGAGAGACACAGCAGGUCUUACAAGUGGACGCCCUUUAAACUGACGUCCAUAGGCACAGUCAGGCAAUUUCUGGCGCCAACACUGCAAAUAAGUGUUAUAGGCCUAUUGUGGAGUUUUUGAUCACAAGUUAUUUGACUUUUGGCAUCUAUAUUUAAUCAUCCUCUAUCUUGUUUCAUUUCAUUGCAUUUUAUUUUCAUUUCAUUUAUCCGAAUACAACAUCUACCUUAUUCUCUUAAUAUGCACAUAAUCAGCACACCGAUAGAAUAUUAUUAUUUCGUAAGUUUCUUUUAUUACUGUUAUUUUAUUCAUAAUAUUUUUUAUUAAUAUUAUUGUAAUGUUUAUUUUUGUAUUUUUUAUAUGAGGCCUUUCUUUUAUUUUUAUUAAUUUUUAUUACUAUUAUUUUAUUAUUGUUAUUGCGUUAGGAAUCACGUAAAUUUCGUAGACGCCAUUAGUCAAAUUUCAAUAAAUAAAUAUAAAAAAACAGUUUAAAUUUUAUACUUGCCAACUGGAGUCUUUCUACGUUUGCACCAUUUUAUCCUCCUUGACGUGCUGAUUUGAUGAACGCCAUCGCGGCUUCGAGCAUCCAAGCAUCAAUCAUAGUAAGAACUAACAUGUGCUGAAACCAAUAAGCUAUUAUAUAGAUACCUAUAUAGUACCUUUUUGGUUAAAAUGUGAUGUUUCUUCCAUACUAACACACAGGGUUAGACAUUAGGCUUUGCCUUUUGAGAGCAACGAAGCUAAUAAUUAACAGAUAUCCUAAUACCGUAUAGACACUUUUAGAGAUUUUAUAUUGAAAACUAGGUUAAUGGUUAUCGUAUGAUACAGAAUUGCAAAAGAUGAACCAUGGAUAAUCUGACAAGAACAUUAGAUCAUAUCCAGCAACAUUUGGACAUAUCAUUAUUUAUCAGAUAAGCAGCAUCAAUUCGAAUAUUUAUGAAUAUGUAUGUAUAUGCAAAUUCAACUAACACUUAAGCAAACAGUUGUUGUUGUUGUUCAAUUAUGUUGAUUAUAUGCAAAUUUGACGGAACCGCAGGUAAGUUACUAACACAGCAAGACAUCGCCUCGAGCACCCAAGCAUCAAACCAAGUAAGAGAACUAAUCAAUAUAGGAUUGUUUGUGUAGUCAAAACAAUCAUACUAAUAUCGUAUUAACCCAUUACCCAUCUUGUAAACCACUUAAUUUAAAUCAUGGUAUUUUUUAUUAUUUUAUUUUAGUAUGAAAAACCUGAGCACACAAGUGCUGUGCUGCUGGCGAUGAGAUAAAACGAUGAUAGGUAAGGAACGCAAGCCGUGCAAAAAACGAUUGUUGUGCCCACCAAUCGUUGGACUUUAUUUGUGCCGAUAGUGGAUUGUAUUUGAUAAUGGUAGCUGGUGUUGCCUCAGCAAGUCUUCAGUUGUAUCCCUGUGAAAUUGUUGCAAUAAAUGUGUACAGCUGUACAAACAAGCUUGUGUUGACUCUUUUUCUUUGUAUCUGUGUCUCUUUCUAAUCACUUUAAUGGUCAGCCCUCUAUACCAAACAUUGUAUCCCUAUGAAUUUGUUUCAAUAAAUUUGUGCAUCAAAACAUACGUGUUUGACUUUCUUUGUCUUGUAAAACGAUAGUAAAUGAAAUACAUUUACCAUUGUUGAACUUUAGUUUAUGUAAAUAAAAAAUUAAAAAUACAUGACUCCUCUGUGUAGCUUAACAAUAAUGCAUUAAUAUUUUUACAGAUGCAUGAAUGCAAUGUUUAUAUCUAAUAGUAUGUUUUUCCUUUCAGAAAUAUUAACUUGUCCACAGACAGUAUUAAGGCGACAAAUACCAUGUGUAUCAAGGUAUUUGUCGCCUAUGCAUGUGUGCGGAAUAAAUAAAUAUAUUCUUUCAAUAAUUAUUUUAUAACAUUAAAGUUUAUUUCAUUUCAGAAAAAAAUCUGGUGAUCUUGAUAUUGAUGCUUGCGGAAAUAUUUUAACAUACUGAACAUACAUACUGGCUGGUGGUGAUACUUCUGCCGACGGAUAAUUAUCGACCUGAAAUGAAAAAAUAAAUUAAUGACUGUAACGAUGGUGAUGGUGAUGAUGAUGAUGAUAGCGAUGACUAUAGUAAUGAUUAAUUACAUGAUUUGUGACUAUGACGACAGAGUUGACAACUCAUACAAAGACCUGCUGUAAUAGGCAGAAAAUACCGAUGAUGAACGAUAACGAAAUGGUGUACCUAAACUUACAAUGGUAAGUUUUUUAAGAUGAUGUCUGAACGUGUGAAAGUGUCUAAAGUGACUUGGUUGAGGUAAAGUGAGUGAAAUGAACCUCUGGGUCUAUAAUACGCUAUGCAUACAUCUAUACAUUUGUGCUUUCAUUUCAGAAAAAUCAGUUUUUGAUAAUGCUUCCAAAUAAACCACAUCAAUUUGCUAUGUAAACUCGUGUUUCUUCUGGUGAACAACAUUAAUAUCGACAUAAAGUGAGUACGAUGGCAGCUGUGAGGAUGAUGUUGAUGAUACUGAUGAUAAAGAUGGUUGAAAUGGUAGACCUGUAUUUGCAAAGGUAAGUUUGAAUGUUUGGGGUUUGUGAAAUUUUCUACUAAUAUUUUUAAUCAUUAUUAUAGUUUCUGUAUUACCAAUUUUGUUUUAUUUAUCAUUCUCAUGAAAUGUUUUUUUUUUCUAGUUAUCUUGUACUUUAAUUAAUUGCCAUCUAUGCAUGUGUGCCGAAUAAGUAAGUAUAUUCCUUAUGUUUGUCUACUCCUUAAGAUGCCCUUUCGACACAUGUUUCAUAACAUUUAAUUUCAUUCAUUUCAGAAUAAGAAGCCUCGUGAUUUUGAUAACGAUGCUUGCGAAAUAUGCUAUGUACAUACUGAUUGGCUGUUGGUGGUGGUUCUUCUGCCGAUGGAUAAUGUAUCAACUUGAAAUGAAAAAAAUGACAAUGAUAAUGAUGAUUGUGAUGAUGAUUAUGAUAGCGAUAUAUGCUAUGCAGACUCAUUUAUAUUGACAUGUAUUGAACAUUGAACAAAUAACGACGAUGACAAUAACAUGACAAAUGAUUAAUUGGUUUUUGACUCUUCACUUUGCUAAUGUUCCUAUCAUGACCCAAAAUAUGGACUGUAAAGUUUGGGUGAUUCCUACCAUCUUGGUGGGUUUGAAAAAUGAUGUGAAAAGAACCUAAUGCUAUUAGGCUAUGCAUAAAUCUAUACUUUAUGUUUCAGAAAAAAAAAGACUUUGAUGAUGCGUGUGAAUUUCCGCAUAGAACACAACAACUUGCUAAGUAGACUCGUGCUUUUUCUUAUGAUGGAAAACUAUGGACAUAAAAGUGAGGACGAUGAUAACGAUGAUGCGGAUAAUGAGGAUGAAAUAUCUUGUACUUUAUGAAUUGCUACCGAUGCAUGUGCGCAGAAUAAAUAGGUAUAUUCCUUAUGUUUGGCUACUCCUUGGGAUGCCCCUUUAAUACAUAUUUUAUAACUUUAACUUUAUUUCAUUUCAGAAUAAAAAGCCUGGUGAUUUCGGUAAUGAUGCUUGCGGAGGUAGGCUACUGGUCGUGAUGGUGGUGGUGGUGCCUUUGCCAAUGGAUAAUAUAUCGACUUGAAAUGGAGGAAAUGGACAGUGACGAUGAUGAUAAUGAUGAGUGGUGAUGAUGAUGAAUACUGUACUACGAUAUAUGCUAUGCAGACUCGUUCAUAUCGACAUGAAUUGAACAUUUAAUGAAUAGCCUUAACGACGAUUACGGUAAAGAGUAUGUUGUUGCUGAUAAAGAUGGCGAUAGAUGUUAAUACGAUAACGGCAAUGAUGAUCACUUACUUGAUUAAUUGGAGGCUCUUUACUUUCAGAUUAAAAAGCCUGGUGAUUUUGACAAUGAUGCUUGCGGAAAUAGGCUACGUACAUACGGAUUGGCUGGUGGUGGUGGUGCUUCUGCCAAUGGAUAGUGUAUCGACUUGAAAUAAAGGAAAUAGAGAUGUUAAUACGAUAACGACAAUGGUGAUUAAUUGGUAUUAGACUCUUUACUUUGCUAAUGUUCGCAUCAUAGUUCAAAGUUUGGGAGGUUCCUGCAGUAAGUUUUAAAAAAAAAAAUAUUUUGAAGAUGUGUGUGAAUUUCCGCAUAGAUCGCAACACUUUGCUAUGUAGACUCGUGCUUCCUCUGAUUAAAAACUAUCAACAUAAAAAAUAAAAAGCAUGUUGAUUUUGAUAAUAAUGCUUCCAGAAAUAUGCUACACUAAAUCACGUCAAUGUGCUUCUUCUGAUGGUGAAUAUCAUGAUAAUAUGAGGUGAUAACUAUAACGAAGAUCAUGUUAUAUAGGCCUAAUGACAACGUUGGUUAUGAUGAAAUGGUACCGUAGACCUGUACUUGGAAAGUGGUUGAUAUGCAAAGCCUAAUACUUGUGAACUGUCGACUCAAACCUGACUGAAACUGCUGUGUGCGAUCGAGUUAAAUGAAAUAGCUGUGGACAUUGAUGAUAAUAAGGCACAAGCGUCAAGGAUAUGCCAAACAUCCUCAUGAACACCAAUCAUGUUCACUAUGAAUCCUUCUUUUCAAAAUAACGUUGAAUGUUUUACUAUAUUUUCGUUUGGAACCGUGGUACCAGCACCCAGCAAGCGAAUUUGUCUGGUUCAGGAUAAUAUGAGAUGUAUUGAGCCAAUUUGGUCGAUUUAAUUUAGAGCUGUCGAGUAUGUUUGCAAGGAACAUCCUCCUCGGACAAUAGGUUUCUAUAAAAUCGGACAGUUGGUCUGAAUUGUACUUGAAUUAAUCAUUUACCUGGUAUUGGUAAACUUGGGACUAAGAUAUAUAUGUUUAGGCCUACUUGUCAUUGCAGUUGGUAACUAAAUAUAAAAAAUGGGCGAUAUAAUAAUAUUAUUAAUAAUAAUUUUUAAAAAAUACGCCUACAAUUUAAUUUAACAUUACAAUAUUCAUCAAUACAAUAUUGCUGCUUUCUCAUUUUGCAUUUUUUGUCAUUGUACAUGUUGGUGGUGUUUGUUUUGUACAUUACGCUUUCAUCAUUUCAUUUAACCCUAACUAAUCCACCCUCUCUCAUAUCUUACUCAGGUUAGCCUAUAGGUUGUAAUUAAGUCAGGUUAGCUUAGUAGAUAGGUCUUUUGCUUAAGGUGUAGACUAAGUACAGUAUUAGCUAGGUUUAAAAUAUAGUUUUUCCUUCCUAAAUGAGAGAGGAAUGGGCUAUACAUUUAAGCUCCAUUACUUCAUUAUCAAUUCAUAACUAAUAUUGUAUCAUUGUGUAUCAGGCCAUUGUAUUUCCUCCAUGAUCAGGCAUUGCUUCACAUUACGGACGUUUUACAAAUAAUAUUGAACAAUAAAAGCUACAAUAUAAAAUAAUGAGACAAAUAGUUAACAACUGCAAUGACAAGUGAUAAAAUAAUUUCUUGUAAUAAAUGUAACUUUAUUAUCAUUUGAUAUAUAUUAAAUUGUGGUAAUGUUGAUGUUGAUGCAAAUAAAGAUUAUUAAUAA